UUCCUCUUAACCUUGUUUUGAAUUAUUCAGAACAACACCUAAAGAGAUGGAACACUGAUACCUGAAACCUGCGGGGAGAGGGAAUCAGAAAAGGAGAAGGAAGGUUACCAGGCCUAUGGACCAGAAGUACUCCACAAAGAGCAAAGAGGUAAAUGUAGCAAACUGGAAGAGUUUCAUUAAAGAUAUGCACUGCAUGCAGAAUAUUGAACCAUUAUUGAAAAUAAAAUUGGACACGAGAUGCUUUGGACACAAUGAACUAGGGCAGACCCAGGCCUGGUGUGGGAUGAGUCCUGAGUUCCGAUCUCACUGGUGCUACUCCUAAGGGUUCUGAGUAUGUGGAUCAAAACCUUUCACUUCUUUGGGCUCCAAGGUUCCUUUGUUUUGGAGGGUUCUGUUUGUUUGUUUUGACCAGAA
This 414-nucleotide long non-coding RNA is filed under the name Chinchilla lanigera (long-tailed chinchilla). Its description in RNAcentral is "lncRNA (ENSCLAG00000024324.1)". Lineage: Eukaryota; Metazoa; Chordata; Mammalia; Rodentia; Chinchillidae. The record is from RNAcentral.